Molecule: long non-coding RNA, 2874 nt
Organism: Bradysia coprophila
Lineage: Eukaryota; Metazoa; Arthropoda; Insecta; Diptera; Sciaridae
Source: RefSeq, a predicted model, not a curated record
AAUGCGUUUCAGUUUUGUGUAUAAACCGUUUCCAGUUCGUUGUUCGCUGCCAGGGUGGUACACAUUAAAUAUUUCUAUAUUAAGAGAAAUAUGUACCAGAAAUCGCGUUGGUUUCUUUUUUUAUAGUCGAAUUUUUUCCUGCUUUUUAUUAUUUCUCUUUCUCUUCUCAUCGUUUCUCCAAGUCUCCAAGUACAUAACCACGUAUCACAAACAACCUCACCAUCAAAUGAAAUGAAAAAAAAAAUUAUUCAUUUCCACAUUCACAAUUGAAAAAUUCUUUUUUUUUAUUCGGAUCGGGUUGGAGAAGUAAAUGUUCGGUCGGUGUUGGCGGCGGCAGUUGCUACCGAUGGGGACUCUACAACCAUUCAUCGUUCAACGUUCGUGCCGUGUGGCGACAAAACUUAUAGAUUGUGUUUUCUGAAAGUGAAGAAAAUUUGUUCAAACCAACAAAAAAGAAGUUUUUUUUGUCUUAUUAGAUGUCUAAGAAAAGAUGUGAGAGAUUUAUUCGAAAUAUUUUUUUUCUGUUGGUUGUUCAACAACGAAAUAAUUUUUUAACAGUAAGGUGAAGCGAGAUGAUAUGAAUGGAAAAUUUUUAUAAUUAAUUAAUCGAGUGAUACAUAGUGAGUCUAAAUAAAAUAUUUUUUUUUCGUUGAACGAUUAAAUGAUUAAAACUAUGGAACAUUUUUUCAAUAAAUUCUGAACGAAUGAAUAAACAUCGCGCUCAUCAACCGAGAUAAAAAGUGCUUCGUCAAUUUAACGAAAACAAAAAAUAAAUUUAAAAUAAAAUUCUUGCAUUCGACGACUGUUCCGAGAUCUAUCUUUAAAUAAACAAUUUUUUUUUCGUUCAAAUAAAAACAGCUCGUAUCGAGCAACUGAAACAAAUAAAAAAAAAAUGUUCGCCUUGUGACACCAAUUGGCCACGUGUUCGUUUAUUCAAAUCUUUGGUUCAAUUUUUUUGUAGGUUCGUCGUUCGUUUGUUGUAAUUUCGUUUUUUAUAUACCUAACAUGAGUAUAUAAUGCUCUUUGAUAAGUCAAAGUUUAACAUUCGCACAAAAAAGAUUACAAAAAAUGAUAUUUCUGUGCACGAAGACGAAGACUUAUAAAAAACUGCGAGCUGUUGUGUAUACACUGCACUUUGAAUAGUAACUUAUUGAACUUUUGGAAGAAUUUUUUUUAUAUUAUAAUAAAUAGGAGAAGAAGAAAAGAAAACGAUUUAUGUGAAAUAUAACCGACGUCAAGAGGAGCCAAGAAAUCUUCAAAAUUCUUUCUUUUAAUUCAAUUUGUGUGUUUUUUGAAAAGACAUGAGACAUAUUGCUGGCUCGUUUUGGUUUUUUGAUUUCGUUCUGUUGAGUGAAAGGUGAUUGGCAAAGUCAUGCGAUAAGUGAUCGACUCAACAAAAUGCGAUAGAUGGAAGAAAAAACAUAGUCGACCUGCUGAUGAUAUUCUGUCAAGGUUCGAGUAUACGAAAAACGCUCCUAAAUCAAGACUCUGUGCCAUUAUGUCAACGAUCAAGUACGCACACAAUCAAGUACGUGCACACACACACUUACAAAACGUUCAUUAAAUGAAGAAUACUUAGUCCAACUGGAGAUCCAGCACCUCUGGAUAAACAAAGUGUCCAUGCUGCUUAAAUAGCCAAUGACCCAACAAUACUAUUUCAUUACAUGGAACAUACUUUUGUUUUCGGUGAGAAAAUUCUUUUGUUGCUGCUGUAAGAAACUACGUAUACGAGCGCUUGGUAGAGUAUUAGUACGAGUCGCCUUUAUCAAUAAGGCUCUAGGGAAACAAUAAAACUGGUGAUAUAAUUUCGCUUUCAAAUUCUUUAGUAAAGCCUAGUUUAUACGAGCGAGAAUAUACAUUUUUCGGUGAAGGUAUGGCUAUGAUACUUGCCAUAAUGACACUAUGUUCAUAAGAUUUUUGUCAAAUUUUUAUUUUCGCUCGAUGUAUAGACUAUGCCUAAAUGAAAAAAGGGGUCAGACGAACGAAAUCAGCCGAACCUAUUUUUUGACCGGCUAACAUUCCCGAUCAAGACAAUCGAAUGAAACCGUUUCGUUUACUUAACGUCUAAUUGUCGACAAAUUAACUCCAAUUGCCCGACUAACCGUCGUAUCAAUAAUUGAUCAAUCUGAAACUCUUCAUUAAAACUGGAAAACUACAAACUUAUUACAACAAACCUCAAAGUAACUCAGAAUGCUAAGGAGCUCGGCACCACUCUAUACUUAAAACGAAAUUACAAUAAUCGAGACCGAUUACAUUCAAUGAUUAGCCGGGGAGGGAAAAUUAGGUGCCAAUUAACUUUUCGAUCAGAAAACUAUACUGUAAUAUCCACACUCUUACUUUUCCCUUUUUUAUUAUUAUUAUCCGACCAACUCAGCCAACCAACAUUGUACUAACCCCGGUCCGUGUAUACACAUUUUAUAAUUAGCUUAUUUAUUACAAAUUACGUGGAAGCCCCUACGUUUAAACAGCAAAAAAGAAAGAAAAAUGCUCCGUGUACAACAACCGAUUAAUAAAUUAAAUACCAAAAAGCACAUAUUUAUCCCCACAUCAUAUUCCACAUGUACAGUAGAUAAUCAUACCGAAUAAUAAUAAUAAAAUGAAUAACUCAUUCAUUUACUUACUUUGCUCGGUUAUGAGUAGGGGGCCGUUCAUAAAGGACGUCCGCGUUGUCUACUAGAUUUUCGGCACACCAUCUCCCCUUGUCACACUAUGUCCCCCCGGGGGAUGUCCACUUUUAGUUAAAAACGAAUUUUCUUAAAAUUCGAAAAAUAUUAUGAGAACUUAACGUAAUUGCGCUCGAAUAAAAAUUAGUUAUUUUUAUUACUGUGCCAUGUAUUUCUUAUGGCACAAUUAUUAUCGCACUCCAAUUUUAGA